UGGGGCGUGGCCAAGCGGUAAGGCACGGGGUUUUGGUCCCCGCAUUCGGAGGUUCGAAUCCUCCCGCCCCAGCCA
Molecule: transfer RNA, 75 nt
Filed under: bacterium
Lineage: Bacteria
Also listed under: 2 other names
Description: tRNA-Gln
Rfam family: tRNA
About the family: Transfer RNA (tRNA) molecules are approximately 80 nucleotides in length. Their secondary structure includes four short double-helical elements and three loops (D, anti-codon, and T loops). Further hydrogen bonds mediate the characteristic L-shaped molecular structure. tRNAs have two regions of fundamental functional importance: the anti-codon, which is responsible for specific mRNA codon recognition, and the 3' end, to which the tRNAs corresponding amino acid is attached (by aminoacyl-tRNA synthetases). tRNAs cope with the degeneracy of the genetic code in two manners: having more than one tRNA (with a specific anti-codon) for a particular amino acid; and 'wobble' base-pairing, i.e. permitting non-standard base-pairing at the 3rd anti-codon position.
Source: RNAcentral